Molecule: long non-coding RNA, 369 nt
Filed under: Phascolarctos cinereus (koala)
Lineage: Eukaryota; Metazoa; Chordata; Mammalia; Diprotodontia; Phascolarctidae
Description: lncRNA (ENSPCIG00000034306.1)
Source: RNAcentral
GGGCGGGGCCCACGCGUUGCCCGCGGCCUCAGGGCCACAAGAGCGAUUCUUCCUGCAGGUGGCCCCUGGGAUCUGGGCCCGCCCACUUUCCCGUUCGCCCGGCCCAGCUCCAGCCCCGCCCACCUAGCUCUCCUCCAGUGACACCCUUCCCCUCUGGGCAAGACCCAGUUACUUGGAUGGAUCUUGACCUCCUAGACAUCUGGGCGGCUUCAUGAGAGAAAGAGAGCUGAGGGACAACACAUAUUCCUGGACCUGGAGGCCUGACACAAAUGAGACAAACACUAAGGACUGAAAAUGUUUGAGACCCUUGAGCCAGGGACUGAGCAGGAUAUAGUCAGUUAAUCAUUCAUUCAACAAACUGUAACCUUG